GUACAAGUGUCACGGGGUGACGAUUUUUCAGGGCGGAACCAAAAGUUGAAGAAGUUUGGUUCCGCCCGGAUGUUUCCGCCCCGACCGGAAAAACAGAAACACCGGACAUCCGGUGGCUCCGCGAAGGCUGUAAUCAGCCGAUUGGGCACAGCUGUGCCUAGUUGAAGAGAUCGCCGAGUAAUUGGAUAACUGGAGUACAAAGAGGAGUAUAAAAAGCGCCGUUAGAUGACAGUUGGGUUCGUUGUUAGUGUGUGCUGAGGAACGGAGCUGUGCUCAUUGUCAGACGUGGUGGCUGUCUGUAUUUCUCUCUCUCUCCCUCUCUCACUGUAGUUGACGGUGGACCUGCUGGAGUAAACGGAAAAUCCGAUGAGUAGAAAGGAACUUUGGUUUAACCAGUACUUUUGAAGGAGUAAAGCAGGAAGAAAACUGACCUUGUUGUACAACGUAAACAAAGGCUAUCCGCUGUGAGUAUACUUGUUUGGUGUGGAGUAAACUGCAGAGAUUAACCUGUGUGAUCGUUGGAGUCCUCGAGGAGGAAAACGGGCGGCCCUGCCCCUAUAAUAGCGUGGUGGGCGAGCCGCUGGAAGCAUAGAUCCAAAACAGCCACAGCAACGAGACUUUAUUUCGGUCGUGUUUGCCAUCGCCCCUAUUUAGCCCAAGCGCAGUGGAGGACACCGGGCGCUUUUCCUUGUGGUGUUGCACUUAUAGCGUGAGUCAGAGGCGAAAGAGUCCGCCGCCCCCGCGGUCCCUACAAAGGGGCGCCCCUGUCCAGGAUUCGAUCGGCCUACGGGCAGUGGAGAUAGGGCAGCGCUCGACCCGGUGAGGUGGUGUGUGACCUUCGCCCCUCUGCUGACCUACGGAGAAGAAAAAGCCAUACCUAUCCAGAAAGCUGUAUGCAGCAGAGCCGCGGCCACCUGUGGAGAGAGAGAAGAACGAGAGUGAACCAUUGAAGGAUAGACUGUGAACGUGAUAACUACCCAGAAAGCUGUACGCAGCAGAACCGGUGAGACAUACUCGAAGUCCAAGUAACAGUACCUUUGUGUCCUAGUGGCCGCCUGAGGAGAGAAAGGAGGACGAGAGUGAACAAUCGGAGGACAGACGGUGUAACGCGCUACCUACCCCGAGAGCUGUAAGCGGCAGAACCGGUGAGAAGCAUACCAAAUCCACACUAACCGUGUUUCUGUGUCGCAGUGAACACCUGCGGGGGACGUGAAGGCACGUGGGGCGAGGACCCCCUGCCGGACCGAGGAAAGGUUCACGGACAGUGGAAAAUCUCCUACCAGUCACACCGAAAUUGUUCUGCCUCCGGGAAAGAAGAAGGAGGGCGCCACGGUUAACAGGGUCCAGGCCGGAGCCUGACGAUUCCCUCUUUCUCCCGGCUUAUGGUGGUUGACACCCCUGUUGCCCUUGCCCCUGUCUGCCCGUGGCUGCAGUCUCCCUGGAGGGAGGAGAAGAAGCCUAUUAGUUUUAAAUCCCCCUUUCCCCAAUUCCCCAGUUCUUUUAAAUAUUUAAAUUCAAUAAAGCUUGUUUUAAAUUUUA
Molecule: non-coding RNA, 1539 nt
Organism: Misgurnus anguillicaudatus (oriental weatherfish)
Lineage: Eukaryota; Metazoa; Chordata; Actinopteri; Cypriniformes; Cobitidae
Source: RefSeq, a predicted model, not a curated record